This 230-nucleotide long non-coding RNA is filed under the name Phoenix dactylifera (date palm). RNAcentral describes it as "long non-coding RNA (PDAC_LNC001629)". The record is from RNAcentral. Lineage: Eukaryota; Viridiplantae; Streptophyta; Magnoliopsida; Arecales; Arecaceae.
UUCUCCUGAAAGACUUCAAUCAAAACACUGUUGUUUCCAUUCCAUCCAGAUACACCAAGAGCCUAUGAAUAUCAAGCAGUCCACUGCUAGUAUCAUCUCCUUCGUGGGGUUGGACGAUCUCCGAUCAUUCCAUAGGUCUUAAUAAUGAAGCUGGAGCUGCCGGAGUUGCUUUGAGUACUUACACCCCAGCAGCAAAUGAUCUACUGUUUCAUUACGGUUACAGCAGAGCG